Molecule: ribosomal RNA, 483 nt
Filed under: uncultured bacterium
Lineage: Bacteria
Description: partial 16S ribosomal RNA
Rfam family: Bacterial small subunit ribosomal RNA
Source: RNAcentral
GAUGAACGCUAGCGGCAGGCCUAAUACAUGCAAGCCGAACGGCAAGUUUGAUAGCAAUAUUGGACCUAGAGUGGCGCAAGGGUGCGUAACACGUAUGCAACCUGCCCGCGACAGGAGGAUAGCUCCCCGAAAGGGGAAUUAACCCUCCAUAACACCAUGAGAAGGCAUCUGAUUAUGGUUAAACCGCAAGGGGUCGCGGAUGGGCAUGCGGUUGAUUAGCUAGUUGGCGGGGUAAAGGCCCACCAAGGCGGUGAUCAAUAGGGGUUCUGAGAGGAAGGUCCUCGGCACUGACACGGCGAUACGGGCCAGAAUACUACGGCAGGCAGCAGUAGGGAAUAUUGGAUUAAGGUUGCAAGACUGAACCAGCCACGCCGCGUGCAGGAAGAAGGCCUUCUGGGUCGUAAACUGCAUUUUCCUGUGGAUAAAAUACACGAGGGCGGAGAAUUGAAGGUAACAGGGUAAUAAGCCACGGCUAACUACGUG